Salvia miltiorrhiza (redroot sage) is the source of this 2778-nucleotide RNA transcript. RefSeq lists it as uncharacterized. The transcript is spliced from 6 exons. The record is from RefSeq and is a predicted model, not a curated record. NCBI's taxonomy places the organism in Eukaryota, Viridiplantae, Streptophyta, Magnoliopsida, Lamiales, Lamiaceae.
AAAAAAACUGACAAUAUGAAAAAGGAGAGGAACAGUCUGUUUGCCAAGAUCAACAAAAUCUCCCAACUCCAAUCUCCACUGCUAAAUUCAGGGUUUUCAAAAAUGCUUCCCAACUAUCCCUCAAUCGAAUGUUUUUGGGAAUUUUGAUCCUGGUAUGCUAAAUUCCUCCUUCACCGAAGUAAAAAUCUCACAUUCCUCUCUCACCGUACAUAUACUGCAUGCACAGCAGCAUUUCGGACGCGUUAAUGGCGGCCGUCGUGAAGAUGGAGACGACAGAUGCGGCGUCGCCAUACGACCUCGAGUACAGAGCCAGCGAGGACGACGCCUGGUACAGCGUGUGCGCCGUUUUGGACGCCGCCGCGGAGACGCUAACCGUCAAGUACAUGUGCUCGCCGGAGGUCUACGAGGUAGUCUUCUCCGCAGGGAAUUUCCAGACGGAGGCACAGGUGGAGGAGCUGGUCGCCCGGUUCAGACCGGUUUCGCAGCAGCUGCAGGAUGAGGAGUGCCUGAGGCUGUCGAUCGGAACCACCGUCUGCGCCGCACAUGGCACCGGCGACAAUGACCUGAGGUUCUACGACGCCGUUGUUGAAGCGGUGGACCGCAGGACACAUUCAUUUGUUGGUGGGGAAGAGGAAUGCUUGUGCACUUUUGUGCUAGUCUGGCAACAUGGACGUGGUCGUGGUACUUUGACCUCUGUUAACAUAGCCAGCAUAUGCUUCUUAGAACCUGCAACACAAAUUGAUCCUAGAAUCAGUGCUUUUGCAAAAAUGGCCAGGAAGAACACCACGUCUUUCAAGUCUAUGUCAGCUCCAGCUAGUGUUGACUUAGCAUCCAAUGGACCAUCGAAAGGAAAAAAGAAUAGUCGCAUAUCUAUUACAAAUGAUUUAGAAUUGCCUCAGAAUAGACCUGUGGAAUCAGAAAUUACCGCGAAGCUUAAAACUCAAACAAAACAAAUGGAAGCAGAUUCAGCAAAGAUUAGCAAUUAUGACCAAUGUACAAAUCAAGAUGAAGAUAUGGGACCAAAACCUUGCAAUACUAAUGAUUCGGCUACAAGUGAUGGUCUCUUUUUUUUAUUGAUCUAUAAUUUGGAGAAAGACCUUUCCCCAUCAUCGAUCAAGAGCUUCAUUUAUGAGAAAACUACUAUUCUGCCAGAAGCAUAUGUGUUUCCAAGUCACGUCUCACAACCAUUUGCAAGAGGAGCCAUAAUGGUGGAUAGUCAAAUGAAGGUUCAGACUAUAUAUGAAUACUUGGACAAUCCUAACCACUUUGUUGUGUCUUCAAGCGGAAGUAAGGAUCUAGUGAAAAUGACCAAAUAUGGUGAGAAUGAGAAUGAAUAUGGGACGGCAGAUAUUCUGAUAGUGCAGCACCGACCACCGAGAGGUGGGAUAAAAGUAUGCACUCGAUGCAAGUCCAGGGCUCCUGCAGUCUAGCGGGAAGAGUUGAAUUAUAAUUAUCUUUUUAUUUAUUACUCCCUCCGUCCAUGAAAGAACUUCCUAGGAGGGAGUGAUACGGGUUUUAAGAAAAAAUAUUGUUGAGUGUAUUGAGAGUGAAUAAAAGGUAGUUGAGUGUAUUGGGAGUGGUGAAAAGGUGUUAUAAUUAAUAUUGGGAGUUGUGAAAAGUGAAAAGUAAAAGGAUUAUAAGUGGUGGGGUAUAAUCCAAAAAUAGGUAGGAAGUUCUUUUGUGGACGUCCCAAAAAAGAAAGAUAGGAAGUUCUUUCGUGGACGGAGGGAGUAUUUAUUAUGUUUUCUUGUUGAUUAAGUUUUGCGGGCCUCUUUGUCUUCUACAUGGGUCUUAGGAGGAAUUAGUAUUUAUUAGCCUUUGCCUAGAGAAAUUAGGUAUCAGAUAUUAUAUUUGUGAUUUUUGCGGCAUUACGUUGUGGCAGAACCUCUCGUUAUGUGGACUUCGUUAAGGAGUAUUCAUCUUUCAAUUCUAUUCCUUUUAAUUCGCUCUCUCCACUCUACCAUAUUCAAAUCCUAUAUCUGAUAUUAAUUUAUUUAAGUUUAUCUUGUAAAAAUAAAAUAACGAAUCUACGAAUAUGCCGCUUGUAAUGCAUGAGUAAGCGUUCAAACUUGGAUUUGAAUCCUAGAUGGGACAAAAAUUUCACCACAUUAAUUGAAUUAUGACUAUUCAUGAAUUUUGGGCCGUCCCACUAUAAAUGGCAUGUUUUCAUAAAUGAAAAAAUUUAACGCCGAAAAGUUUUGAGCCACUUACAGUGGGACGGUGGGAGUAUAUUGCAAGAGGCCUAGGCCUAGACAUAAUGUGGUAGUUAAUUUUAUCAGAUGUAAUUUUCUUCCUCACAGCAUAUGGAUUAAAGAAGAUGACUGUACCUCUCUGAUUUCUUCCUUUCAUUUGCUUCGCAUUAACAACUAAAUGUUACGAUGAAAUUAGAAAGACAGUAAUUGAAUGUUUCAGGACUGCAAUGCUACAACAUAUGUUGUUUUAUUGCCAUACCAAGCUGAAUCCUCCCCAGGGAACUUCUUAGUCACUAUGGAUAUUUCUCUGUUACUACAUCAAAUGUGUCUCUUUGACUAGGUCACUAUGGAUCUGUGUACAUGCUUAAAAAAAUGUCAAUGCCAAUUUUGUUUUCUAGAUGGACAAUUAGCAUUAUUCAGUUAUAUACUUAUGCAGGCCAUGGGUUAUCUUCCAAAAAGCAUUGGCAGGAACAUCUGAAGCAAGUAUAUGGAACUUACUCCCUGUGAGCCGGGAAGAAAUCAAACAUAAAAGAACUGACAGGGAACUGGAAGUAGUUGUUUCAGGAACUAAAUCUUACGAGAGAGC